UAGAGUUUGAUCAUGGCUCAGAUUGAACGCUGGCGGCAGGCCUAACACAUGCAAGUCGAGCGGUAACAGAGAGAAGCUUGCUUCUCUGCUGACGAGCGGCGGACGGGUGAGUAAUGGCUGGGAACCUGCCCUGAUGUGGGGGAUAACCAUUGGAAACGAUGGCUAAUACCGCAUAACGUCUACGGACCAAAGAGGAGGACCUUCGGGCUUCUCGCGUCAGGAUGGGCCCAGUUGGGAUUAGCUAGUAGGUGAGGUAAAGGCUCACCUAGGCGACGAUCCCUAGCUGGUUUGAGAGGAUGAUCAGCCACACUGGAACUGAGACACGGUCCAGACUCCUACGGGAGGCAGCAGUGGGGAAUAUUGCACAAUGGGGGAAACCCUGAUGCAGCCAUGCCGCGUGUAUGAAGAAGGCCUUCGGGUUGUAAAGUACUUUCAGCAGUGAGGAAGAUAGUGUAGUUAAUACCUGCGUUGUUUGACGUUAGCUGCAGAAGAAGCACCGGCUACUCCGUGCCAGCAGCCGCGGUAAAACGGAGGGUGCGAGCGUUAAUCGGAAUUACUGGGCGUAAAGCGCAUGCAGGCGGACUGUUAAGUCAGAUGUGAAAGCCCCGGGCUUAACCUGGGAAUCGCAUUUGAAACUGGCAGUCUAGAGUCCUGUAGAGGGGGGUAGAAUUUCA
Molecule: ribosomal RNA, 674 nt
Filed under: uncultured Vibrionaceae bacterium
Lineage: Bacteria; Pseudomonadati; Pseudomonadota; Gammaproteobacteria; Vibrionales; Vibrionaceae
Description: bacterial SSU rRNA
Rfam family: Bacterial small subunit ribosomal RNA
Source: RNAcentral